CCAAAUUCAUAUCAGCUAUACCAAUAUUCCUUAGGACAUUUUAGCAUUGUCUACAAAAUCCAGCUUGAAAUAUAGCAUCGAAAAUGUGAACUUCCUAGGAGGGAACUAGGAAGCCCCAUAAUCUGUAUGAGACUCUUAUUCUAUGUCCACGUUUGGCCUUAUCACUACAAGGUGAUGGCGUUGGCCAUUAAUUACCUUUUUCUAAUGACAAAGGGAAGCAUAAAGUUUUGUAGUGUCAAAGCUUGUGGUUGACUUGCAUGUUGAGGGUUUUCUACAAGACACUGCACCACCAAGCGUCAUGAUGGCUUUUCUGGUAAAGAAUUUACUCUCAGGUAUGCUCAGCUUUUUGUUUUUCAAUUCUUUUUUUUGCUUAAUUUGUGAGACAGUGAUCCUGGAAGGGUGAUAGGCUAUUGCUUGAUGUCAGUAUCAUCCUUGUGUGAAAUCAGCAUCAUGUCCUUCCACUCAGCUGAUUUUUUCCAGAUCAGGUAUUGGUCCUUCUUGCCCUUUUGGCUGGAUAUUAUAGAACCACUAUGGUCUGGGAUAUUGGGUUGAUACUUUGCGACACAAACUCAAUUGAAGUUUGAAUAAGGCCGUAAUGAUCCUACUUGCACAGUUCACAACGGUUAGGCAUUUAACUCCCAUGAAGUAUUCUGUUGCUCUGGAUGGUGAAGAUAUCGUUGGGUUACCAUAUGAUGUGUCACCUCAUUUGUGCUAAUAUUUUGAGUCUUUCUGUGGAGAAAACGUUCAACUGGAUUAUCAUAUGCUGUCUAUAAACAGUUAACAAUUGAAGAGCAUUGAUGGAGAAGUGCUGUAAGGAUUUAUGCUUCUGCAAAUGAUUUUCUUUCAUCACAGGAUGUAGGAGGGAUAAGUCAUUUGGUUUCCUCACUGACAACUUUGUUAAACUUUUGCUGAGUGGAAAGGUGCAUCCCAUUUACUAUUCUAGUUAAUUUCAAUAUGAGCCUAUUUAUCUUUACAUAAUGCAGCAAAAGCAAGAUGACUUAUGACGUUUCAAAUCUACUGUCAUCGUUGAAUCUGUUUGGAAAGAAAGCCUGCAUUUAGAUGGUUGGGUGUUGAUGGCAAGCCUAAGAACUCCAGUUCCAUCCGUUCACCUCAUAUCCCUGAGGAAGAGAGCUCACCUGAUCUCUGAGGAAGAGAGCAAGAAGAAGAGUGUUUGAUACAGAACUUGCUAGUGUGGCACUAACCUUGAUAAAGUCUCGCUUCUCACUAUAUGGAAGCUUCGCAAUCAUGUAUACAUAAGUGACUGCUGGAGGAUGUCAAUCGCUUUGCCGUUUUCCUAAUGUUAAUAUUUUUGUACCUUGAUGUACACUAGACUACUAGUAAACAGCUCUGAUGUACACUAGACUACUGGUAAACAGCCCAUGGACCGUGAUAAUGUCUUUUCAUUGACAGCA
Nymphaea colorata (pocket water lily) is the source of this 1412-nucleotide long non-coding RNA. RefSeq lists it as uncharacterized. NCBI's taxonomy places the organism in Eukaryota, Viridiplantae, Streptophyta, Magnoliopsida, Nymphaeales, Nymphaeaceae. The record is from RefSeq and is a predicted model, not a curated record. The transcript has 2 exons.